Molecule: long non-coding RNA, 1246 nt
Filed under: Pan troglodytes (chimpanzee)
Lineage: Eukaryota; Metazoa; Chordata; Mammalia; Primates; Hominidae
Description: lincRNA
Source: RNAcentral
GCUCUGUUUUGUCUGGUGGGUUUUUUUUGCCACUGCCGUUGUGUUAGUGGCAUCCAGGUCUCUGGAUUACUGCAUGCUUGCAGUGGGAGGAAAGGCCUGUCUACCAUGUUCUCUGCCUCCCCUUCAUGCUCUGUGAGGAGAGGGGCCUUGUCUGGCAUAUUCACCGAGGCAUUCCUGACCACUAGAACUGUGCUUGGCACAGAGUAGACACUUAAUAAACUCCUGCUGCAUGAACAAAAGAACAAGUGUGGAUGCUUCAAAGGAAGACUUGCACCCGGCUGACCCCCAGAGUGGGGAAGGGGUCCCACCUAAUAGGAAGAACACCAAGACUUCCCCAAGAGAAGAAGGAACGGCUCCCCCUUUCUCGGCGAGGCCAUGUGUCUGGACCCUGUGUGAGAUGCUUUCUAUACUAGCCCUUGUUGGGGUGUUGCACCCAUUUUACAGAUCAAACAACCAAGUUUAUCAGAAAUUAAAAACUCAUUUAAGAUGCCAAAGCUCACGAGUGGAUGGUUUGAUGCUGAAGCCAACAUUGUUAACACCAUCUCAGCUCAAAAGCCCUGAAGGCCACUUAAUUCUACCAACCUUCAACCAUCUUGUCAUAAGACACAUCCUCGACCCAAAGCAGAUAUUCUGUGUAGCUGAUGUGUGUACAGAUUGCAAAUUCAAUUGCGGAAGCAUAGAGAGGCACCAGAAGAGGCAUCUUAUGAGAGUCAGCCAGGACUGGUAAUGAGCAAACCAUCACCUUGAAUAGCCUCUGAGAGGGAACAUUUAAUAAGAUACAGAAACCAGAUUUGCUUGAGCUGAAUGCUGGAUCGCCAUGGCAACCUUCCUUUGGAGGUUAUCCAAGUCAGGUAGUGACAGCAAAGCUGAGUUAAAGGUCACCCCUGCUGAGAAAGAUGGGCAUUGAUAAAGGAUUUUAACAAGACCCAGAGGAGCUGAUAUUUGGAAGCUACCUAUAGAGGAUCGACGAGGCCCUAGGAAUGGGUGGCAAACAACAUCAGGAAGAGGGGGGCAUCCUGCAGGGGCUCCCACCAGAGCCCCGACCUCGCCCUUCAGAUCGGGAGCUCCAGCCUUCACCAGAAGCUGAGAUUGGAGCUGUUCGUAAUUGUUCAAUGGAAGGGUGAACAACCAUUUUAACCAGGCAUCCAGAUGGGAAAGAAAUACACUUAUGCCACUCUACACCCAAGACACGCAUUCCUGAAAAGUUCUGAACAAGCCAAAUGCUUGCAAAUGGAACGGGCUUGAC